RNAcentral lists this long non-coding RNA (1803 nucleotides) under Anas platyrhynchos platyrhynchos (common mallard). RNAcentral's name for it is "lncRNA (ENSAPLG00000021032.1)". The record is from RNAcentral. Lineage: Eukaryota; Metazoa; Chordata; Aves; Anseriformes; Anatidae.
GAGACCCAAUGGGGUCAACUGGAGACCCAACAGGGUCAAUGGGGUCAACUGGAGACCCAAUGGGGUCAACUGGAGACCCAAUGGGGUCAAAAAGGUCUACUGGAGACCAAAAGGGGUCAACUGGAGACCUAAUGAGGUCAACUGGAGACCCAACGGGGUCAACUGGGUCAACUGGAGACCCAAUGGGGUCAACUGGAGACCUAAUGGGGUCAACUGGAGACCUAAUGGGGUCAAUGGGGUCAACUGGAGACCCAAUGGGGUCAACUGGAGGCCCAAUGGGGUCAACUGGAGACCUAAGAGGGUCAAUGGGGUCAACUGAAGGCCUAAUGGGGUCAACUGGAGACCUAAAAGUGUCAAUGGGGUCAACUGGAGACCCAAUGAGGUCAACUGGAGACCCAACGAGGUCAAUGGGGUCAACUGGAGGCCCAAUGAGGUCAACUGGAGACCCAAUGGGGUCAACUGGGUCAACUGGAGACCCGACGAGGUCAACUGGAGACCCAACGAGGUCAACUGGGUCUACUGGAGACCCAACGGGGUCAACUGGAGACCUAAGAGGGUCAAUGGGGUCAACUGGAGACCCAAUGGGGUCAACUGGAGACCCAACAAGGUCAAUGGGGUCAACUGGAGACCCAACAGGGUCAACUGGAGACCUAAUGGGGUCAACUGGAGGUCUAAGAGGGUCAAUGGGGUCAACUGGAGACCUAAUGGGGUCAACUGGAGACCCAAUGAGGUCAACUGGAGACCCAACGAGGUCAACUGGAGACCUAAGAGGGUCAAUGGGGUCAACUGGAGACCCAAAGGGGUCAACUGGAGACCCAACGAGGUCAACUGGAGACCCAAGGAGCUCAAAACCCCCACCCACCUCCACCCACCCCACCCACCCCCUAACGGGACCAACCACGGGUCCACCCCACCCCCCCGCGGUGGACACCCCCCACGACCACCCCACCCCCCACCUCCUCCCACCCAACCCCAAAGCCCCUCACAUCGAAGAUCUCGAAGCCGGCGAUGUCCAGGACGCCGAUGAAGUACUGGCGGGGCUGCUUGGUCUCCAAGGAGUUGUUGAUCCUGGUGACCAUCCAGUUGAACAUCUUCUCGUAGACCGCCUUGGCCAAGGCCCCGAUGGAGUAGACCACCUGCUGGACGUUCUGGCCCUUGGUCACGUACUCGUUGCCCACCUUCACCCGCGGGUGGCACAGGCCCUUCAGGAGGUCGGCCGAGUUGAGGCCCAGCAGGUAGGCCGACUUGUCGGCGUCUUGAAGGCCAGAAGAAGGUGGACGUGGGGUCAGGACACACUUAUGGAGGUCCAGACUCCACCCCACGUCCCACCUCCCAGGUCCCACCUUCGGUGCCGUCGGGCUCGGCCUGUUCCUCGCGCUGCUUCUGCUUGAACUUCAUGUUGCCCAGGUGCAUGAUGGCGCCCGUCAGCUUGUAGACCCCGGCCUUCUCCUCUGCCGUGAAGCCCAGCACGUCGAAGGCGCUCUGCGGGGUGGGGAGGGGUUUGGAGAAGACCCCGGAGUCCACCCCACCAGCUGGGGACCCAUCUCCAGGCCCAUCGGGCCACCCAUGGAUUCAUCCAUCCGUGGUUUCAUGGGUUGAAGGACCCAAGAACCAUCUAAGAACCAUCUCUGGGCUCAUCCAUCCAUGGUUUCAAGGGUUGAAGGACCUAACCGACCAUCUAAGAACCCAACCAACCAUCUAAGGACCCAUCUCUGGACUUCUCCAUCCAUGGUUUCAAGGGUUGAAGGACCCAACCAACCAUCUAAGGACCCAUCUGACCACCCAAGGACUCAUCCAUCCAUG